Molecule: transfer RNA, 81 nt
Filed under: Bacteriovorax stolpii
Lineage: Bacteria; Pseudomonadati; Bdellovibrionota; Bacteriovoracia; Bacteriovoracales; Bacteriovoracaceae
Rfam family: tRNA
About the family: Transfer RNA (tRNA) molecules are approximately 80 nucleotides in length. Their secondary structure includes four short double-helical elements and three loops (D, anti-codon, and T loops).
Source: Rfam by way of RNAcentral
GCGCGGGUGGCGAAAUGGCAGACGCACUACCUUGAGGUGGUAGCGCCGCGAGGCGUGCUGGUUCAAGUCCAGUCCCGCGCA